UCAAGAAUAUUCCUCAAUGGCCGAAAGGCUGAAGGAGCGACGCCGCGUGUGUGAUGAAGCCCUUUGGGGUGUAAAGCACUUUUACAUGGGACGAACAAAUGACGGUACCAUGGGAAUAAGGGGCUGCUAAACUCGUGCCAGCAGCAGCGGUAAUACGAGUGCCCCGAGCGUUAUCCGGAUUUAUUGGGCGUAAAGCGUACGUAGACGGUUUGUAACAUCUCCUGUUAAAUCACAAGGCUCAACUUUGUGACUGCGGGAGAUAUGGAUAAACUAGAGACUGGGAGAGGUAAGCGGAAUUGCUGGUGUAGGGGUUAAAUCCGUUAAUAUCAGCAGGAACACCAAAAGCGAAGGCAGCUUACUGGAACAGUUCUGACGUUAAGGUACGAAAGCGUGGGUAGCG
RNAcentral lists this ribosomal RNA (400 nucleotides) under uncultured bacterium. RNAcentral describes it as "bacterial SSU rRNA". It matches the Rfam family "Bacterial small subunit ribosomal RNA", at positions 355 to 770 of the family's 1533-position model. The record is from RNAcentral.